RNAcentral lists this long non-coding RNA (1333 nucleotides) under Gadus morhua (Atlantic cod). Its description in RNAcentral is "lncRNA (ENSGMOG00000034225.1)". Lineage: Eukaryota; Metazoa; Chordata; Actinopteri; Gadiformes; Gadidae. The record is from RNAcentral.
GGGCACUUCAAAUUCGUUUUAAUCACUUGUGUAUUAUAACUGGUAUGUUUUUUAUAUACUUUUCCAUGCGGCAGACACGACUGUCCUGGAAAAAAUGUCCUUUGGGACAAUAUAGUCUGUCUUAUAUCGUCUCCUCACCCUGCAUGCCCCUAGGGUGCUAUGAAUGGAUGUUGGCUUCACUGUGUGUGUGUGUGUGUGUGUGUGUGUGUGUGUGUGUGUGUGUGUGUGUGUGUGUGUGUGUGUGUGUGUGUGUGGUAGUAGUGUAUGUGGCUUAUGGUAUGGGGUAUCCAUUGCUCCGAGUUAUGAUUGGCCUGAAUGAUGAGUGAUGUCAUGGCUGGGUUCGAGAUGGGGGAUAUGAUAUUUUGACAUUUUAAUUCUCAGAGGACGUGAAAGUAUGAUAUCCAACCAAGUUAGAAACACACAUGCACGCACAAAAAUCCUUGCCUCGCAGAAUAUGUGUGCGUAUUAACACAGGCAAUUUGACCCAAGCAACUCGCACCCACCACCUACUUACCAAUGAUGUCAUUUUCAAUUCACACUGUGUGUGUGUUUGUGUGUGUGCGUGUGUCUGACAGUGUAAUCGGUGCGUGUGUGUGUGUAUGUGUGUGUGUGUGUGUGUGUGUGUAUUGAGUAAGGGGAUACCAAAAAGGAAAAGGAGGAUGUACUAACUUUUAUUUUUACAUAGCAUGGAUCAUUCUUUUUUCUCUCUCUUUUUCUCUCUCUCAAUCGCUCUCUCUGUCUCCCUUUAUUCUCCUCUCAUCCUCUCUCAUAUUCUUCAAUAUGAGGGAGUAACUUGAGUACAACUGGAAUACAUGAAGCAAGACCAGAUUGCAGGAUCUUGUCCUCACCUCCACCGCUGUUCUUUCUGCGGGCUGGUUCAAAGUAAAUCUUCAUGUUGCAAAUCUCCAGCAUGGCUACGAUCUUAACGUGCAGUGACAGGGACAUAUAAAAAAUUACUAGUAGUACAUUCACAAGAUACACACACAUGGACGCACAAAAAAACCACACACACGCAAACACACAUGCGCAUGUGCUCAUACACACACGCACACAGACUCCAACAUACCAUGCGCUUGCUGUCACGCACACACACACACACACACACACACACACACACGCUUGUGCUCAGACUCACAAGCACACUCACGCUGAUGCGUUUUCUGUCACACACAUACACACACACAAACACACGCACACACAUAUACACAGACACAUAUAUAGACACACAAACGCACCAGAACAGUGUGAAGCUGGUCAGUGUCUUGAGAGUUGUGUGAGAACAGGAGCGGUCCUACAGACACAGAGAGUCCCAAAGCAAAUCUUCACACGAUGA